GAGGAAUAUUGGUCAAUGGGCGAGAGCCUGAACCAGCCAUGCCGCGUGCAGGAAGACGGUCCUAUGGAUUGUAAACUGCUUUUAUUUGGGAAUAAACUCCGGUACGUGUACCGGCCUGAAGGUACCAAAUGAAUAAGCACCGGCUAACUCCGUGCCAGCAGCCGCGGUAAUACGGAGGGUGCAAGCGUUAUCCGGAAUCAUUGGGUUUAAAGGGUCCGCAGGCGGUCUUAUAAGUCAGUGGUGAAAGCCUACAGCUCAACUGUAGAACUGCCAUUGAUACUGUAAGACUUGAAUUCGAUCGAAGUGGGCGGAAUAUGACAUGUAGCGAUGAAAUGCUUAGAUAUGUCAUAGAACACCGAUAGCGAAGGCAGCUCACUAGGUCUGGAUUGACGCUCAGGGACGAAAGCGUGGGGAGCAAAC
Molecule: ribosomal RNA, 420 nt
Filed under: uncultured bacterium
Lineage: Bacteria
Description: bacterial SSU rRNA
Rfam family: Bacterial small subunit ribosomal RNA
Source: RNAcentral